Molecule: non-coding RNA, 73 nt
Organism: Trichonephila clavata
Lineage: Eukaryota; Metazoa; Arthropoda; Arachnida; Araneae; Nephilidae
Source: the annotation of a GenBank genome assembly
GUCCCUGUAGUGCAAUGUACAGUGCAUUGGACUUCUAAUACAAAGGUUGUGGGUUUGAAUUCCACCUGGGAUG